AAUUAACCAUAUAAACGCUCGUCUUUUAAAAGAUUUUUGUUCGUUAUUUAAUUAUCUUAAACAUAACCUUAAAAAACUAAACUGGUACAGUACUAAUUUGCUGGCUGUACUACAAGAUUGCGUGGUCAAACAUUUUUGUACAUUAAUAAUGUUACAUUGUUUAAUUAUUAUCUAAAUAUAGUGUUUUAGUGCAGUAAAUUAAUAAAAAACUGUUUUAUUUGUAUGUUGUUACAAUUAAUAAAUUAUAUUUGAAAGUUUAUUGAAAUAAUUAAAUUUAAAGAAUAUCGAACAAUAGGCGAGUACAAUAGACAAUGAAAUAUUUACAGUUUUGGAUUUGCUGCUGUCGAAUGACAAUAUUACCGAAAAACUUAACUUUUUUCUCUUUUGAGAAAAAUAAGUUUUGCUGUAGUGACAUUUUACUUAAAAAGUAAGUCGAUAUAAUGAUGUAAUAUUAGAUGUGUAGUAUAAUUAAGGCCAGAUUUAAAAAAACUCCAGGCUCCAAAAACAUGUAUUGAUGAUCUUUUUUUGGCUAUAGAUUUUUAAUUUAUUUUCCAACUAUUCCAAAAUGAUUAUAAUAUACAGAACAAUAUUGGUAUACUAUAUUUAACAAUUUUUUUUUAGUUUUGAUACCUGCUAUUGUAAGUUAUCAUCUGUAUUAUUAAGUAUGCACUUAUAAGUAAACUAAGAUACUUCAAUAUCAUAAGAUUAAUAUCCUAAUCAUAUUAAGAAACAAAAAAAGAUUGUAAUCAUGAUUUUUUAUUACUGUCUAUCAUAAUAAAGUCAUCUAUCGAAUUAACAUAUAGUUCUUGAACAAACUAAAUUAUAGUUUUUGUACAAUUUUGAUGUCUAUUGGUUUUGUAUACACUUGUCUUAACAUACUACAUUAAUAAGCUUUAAUUUCAUAUCAGAUCAACAUUAGAAUGAAUUGUUAUACUACAAAUACAGUAUUGUAGCUAAAUUUCUCAUUUGAAUUUUCAUCGAACAAUAUUAGAUUGCAAAAAAAUAAAUAAAUCUAAUAGUAAUUGUUAAAUUUUUUAAUUAAAAUAGGGCAAUGUAAUAAAGUAAUACAUGUAGUUAUUAUAGUACUAUUUUUAUGAUGUAAUAUUAGAGGGAGUAGUAAGAAAAUAUCUUAAAAUUUAAGAUAUAAGUAAUUGUUAUUUUAUAUGUUACUUUCAAGUAUUUAAAAAAAAAUUAUAGUAAAAUUAUUAUUUUUAUAGAUAAUAUGUUUACUUCAGUAGAAUUUUGAUAAGGUUAAGAAUAUUGCGUUCCUUGAAAAAGAAAAUUUUACUCAAAAGAAAUAAAUAUUAUAGAUAAUACAAAUAAAUUAUUUGUAGUUGUAUAGCUAAAAGAUUUGAAUGUGGUAGGUUAGACUAGUUAAAGCAAUUAGUUUAAAUUUAAAAGCUGUUAAUUAUUAAAAUAAAUACAUAAAUUCAUUAAAACUUCACAAAUUUUAGUAUUGCCAAUUGGAAUCAAUCUGUUAUAUUUUUAUAAAUAAGUGUUGAAUACAAACUCAAAUUCUUAAAUAAUUUUAAGUCAAAUUUUUUUUUUAAUAGUUCAAAAACCUUAUUAAGUUAAAAAAAUAAUUUCCCUUGAGCCUUAACUUAUCCAGGUUCUACUGUAUUUUAAAAUUGGCAUCAGUGCCGUGCCAAGAAAAGGGCAUAGGAUGAUAUAAGGUUCAUACACUUUGCAAUAUUUAAUUGUUAUAAUUGAUAGUUAUUUAAUAUUAGAGGAUGCUAACAUAUAA
This is a long non-coding RNA of Daktulosphaira vitifoliae (grape phylloxera), 1744 nucleotides long. RefSeq lists it as uncharacterized. The record is from RefSeq and is a predicted model, not a curated record. The transcript is spliced from 4 exons. NCBI's taxonomy places the organism in Eukaryota, Metazoa, Arthropoda, Insecta, Hemiptera, Phylloxeridae.